CUGGGUCUUCUGUGUGUCUUACGUAAUCCGUGCCAGCUCUACGAGUAAGCAACCAUGUCUAAGGGACCUGCGAUUGGUAUUGAUCUUGGCACCACCUACUCUUGUGUGGUCUUCCAGCAUGGAAAAGUGGAGAUAAUUGCUAAUGAUCAGGGAAACCGAAUCACUAUGUUGGCUUUACUGACACCAAACGAUUGAUUGGUGAUGCUGGGAAAAAUCAAGUUACAAUGAACCCCACGAACACAGUUUUUGAUGCCAAGUGUCUGAUUGGACGCAGGUUUGAUGAUGCUGUUGCCCAGUCUGAUACGAAGCAUUGGCCUUUCGUGGUGGUGAAUGAUGCAGGCAGGCCCAAGGUCCAAGUAGAAUAUAAAGGAGAGACAAAAAGUUUCUAUCCAGAGGAGGUGUCAUCCAUGGUUCUAACAAAGAUGAAGGAAAUUGCAGAAGCCUAUCUGGGAAAGACUGUUACCAAUGCUGUGGUCACAGUACCAGCUUACUUCACUGAUUCUCAGCGUCAGGCUACCAAAGAUGUUGGAACUAUUGCUGGUCUCAAUGUUCUUAGGAUUAUAAAUGAGCCAACUGCUGCUGCUAUUGCUUAUGGCUUAGACAAAAAGGUUGGAGCUGAAAGAAAUGUGCUAAUCUUUGACCUUGGAAGUGGCACGUUUGAUGUGUCAAUCCUCACUAUUGAGGAUGGAAUCUUUGAGGUCAAGUCUACAGCUGGAGAUACUCACUUGGGUGGCGAAGACUUUGACAAUCGAAUGGUCAACCAUUUUAUUGCUGAGUUUAAGCGCAAACAUAAGAAGGACAUCAGUGAGAAUAAAAGAGCUGUCCAUCGCCUCUGUACUGCUUGCGAACAUGCUAAGCAUACUCUAUCUUCCAGCACCCAGGCCAGUAUUGAGAUUGAUUCCCUUUAUGAAGGAAUUGACUUCUCUACCUCCAUUACCUGUGCCCAAUUUGAAAAAUUGAAUGCUGGGGGCGGAGCCAAGAUGGCGAACUGCAGCCAGCUUUUUACAGAAGCUCCC
RNA transcript from Otolemur garnettii (small-eared galago), 1016 nucleotides. It is a transcript of the gene named heat shock cognate 71 kDa protein-like, with no coding region annotated. The record is from RefSeq and is a predicted model, not a curated record. The transcript has a single exon. NCBI's taxonomy places the organism in Eukaryota, Metazoa, Chordata, Mammalia, Primates, Galagidae.